AUGCGGGGGAUGAACCUAGUGCUGGGGGAGGAGCACCGUCGAGAAGCCGCGCUACGAGUAGCAAGAUACCAGCAGGCGCUGCGGCGGUAUCAUUGCCGCAACAUCCGCCCCAGGACUCUCGAGGUAGGUGACCUCGUGCUCAGGCGGGUGCUCUCCAGGGAAGGGCUGCACAAGCUCUCGCCCAUGUGGGAGGGCCUGUUCAAUGUUGUCCAUGUUUCCAGGCCUGGCGCCGCGUGCCUGGAGACUCGGGAGGGGUUGCCCAUCCCAAAUGCAUGGAACAUUCAGCACCUUCGGAAGUUCUACCCCUAA
RNAcentral lists this ribosomal RNA (309 nucleotides) under Triticum aestivum (bread wheat). Its description in RNAcentral is "partial small subunit ribosomal RNA". Lineage: Eukaryota; Viridiplantae; Streptophyta; Magnoliopsida; Poales; Poaceae. The record is from RNAcentral.